This 209-nucleotide long non-coding RNA is filed under the name Arachis ipaensis. RNAcentral describes it as "long non-coding RNA (AIPA_LNC001098)". The record is from RNAcentral. Lineage: Eukaryota; Viridiplantae; Streptophyta; Magnoliopsida; Fabales; Fabaceae.
AGUUGAGAAUGAGGGAGUCAAGGUAGAUGGAAUAGAAAACGGUGUCGUGCGGCGGGUGGUGUUUUUGGUUGAAGAUGGAUGAAGGAGGUGACUCAGUUGAUGGUUCCAUUCUUGUCUUGUGUUGAGCUUAAGCUUUCACUUUCAGUGCUGAUUCUACUCUAUUCUAUUCUAUUCUAUUCUAUUGCUAAUUUCUUCAGUUUUCUCGUUCU